RNAcentral lists this long non-coding RNA (454 nucleotides) under Homo sapiens (human). RNAcentral describes it as "HSALNT0300759". Lineage: Eukaryota; Metazoa; Chordata; Mammalia; Primates; Hominidae. The record is from RNAcentral.
AGAAGGGAUUGGAGGAAACAGGCUGAAGACAGAUGCUGCAGUGGGAGUGUGGAGAGAUGUGAAGGCAACAGCAGGAAUAAUGAUAAGAUUGGUUGUGAGGUACUGUAUAGAUGAGAUGGAUAGGACCAGAGAUGCACCUGAGAGCAGGAGGAAAAGGAGAGGAAAAUGGUCAUGUGGGUGCCAGAUAGUACUGCAUAACCUCUCCUUUUGAAUUUGAGGUACCUGCGUCUGCCAAGAGUAGCUUUUCCAUUUCACAACCAUCACACUUUCCUGUGAGUUCAGAGUUAAUGAAGACAUGUGGAUGCAAAAGGAAAACUUGCAGAGCAAAGUCAUUGCCAAACAGGUUGUGUAGCCUGACCUGUGAAACAUUGUGAAGAAGGAAGAUCGCAGUUUCAGGGAAGAUGACUCGAUAACACCACAGAACAGGUGCCAGGAACUCUGCUAGAUGCUGGAG